Molecule: long non-coding RNA, 1427 nt
Filed under: Rattus norvegicus (Norway rat)
Lineage: Eukaryota; Metazoa; Chordata; Mammalia; Rodentia; Muridae
Description: long non-coding RNA NONRATT031054
Source: RNAcentral
UAAUAUAAUCUGGCCACUUUUACUUUCCCACUAAGCUUUAUUUUUGAAACUAUUCAGAAUUGGGUUUUGUAAAUGAUAUGUUGAUAUGCCAUAAUGUCUUUCUAACUAGGUAAUUAAUUUCCCCAACACAUUCCCCAGUGACUUGAAAUGCCACCAAUAACAUUUACUGAAUCUUUGUAUAUACCUGAGUCUAUUUCUGAAUCAUUGAUUUUGUUUUGCUGGUAUUGUUCUUAUUCCAACAUCAUACUUUUCAAAUGACUACUUUAGGUUUGUUACUUUUUCUAUGACAUCGAGUCUUGUGUGCUGACUAGGGUCAUCUCGAAGUUGUGUGUUCAAAUGAUCCUCCUGCCUUACCCUUCCAGAUCCUGGGACUACAAACAUGCACGGCCAUGUCCAGCUUGUUAAGGAUUUUGGAUUGUGGCCACUGUUCCUCUGUUUUUCAAACAUUUGUUUAAUAAUUUUUAGAAACAGCCAAACAUUUGAUAAGAAAUCUUACUGUUUUAUAAAGAUUAUAUUGAAUUGUCACCUUAAUGUUGAGAAAGUAGCUGUCUUUACAAUAUAGAGUUUUCCUGACCACAGGACUAUAGUAGACUUCUGUUUAAUCAGUACUUGUAAAUGAUGCAUCUCUCUUUUCAUUUAAGCUUUUGUCUUUUCUAAUAUCAUGUUUAUUUGUCUUUCUCAUCUGUAAACUUUCUGGGAUCUUUAGUUUCAUUUAUGUAUUUAGAAUGUCUGGCAUAGAAUAGAUUAUUCGGUAUAUGAUCGAUGAACAUUUUACACUAUAGCAAUUGUUCCAGAAUUUGAUUAAAAACUGUAGACUGACCCACCUAGAAAAAUGCACAAAUACACACAAAGUUUUAAAGAAAACUUAAAGGGAAAGAUUAGACACUCUACUUGAUGUCUAUAUAAUCUGUAUUAUAUAGAGAUGCUGUAUCAUAGUGGUUGAAUACAUUUUUUUGUGGGACUUGAGGGAAAGAUUUAAUACUUUAACCACAGGCUGCCGAGCAAAGCUUUAUAGUGACAGCUAUUCUUUUGGACCUGAGAAUGAGGGAGUGCAUAGGAGUGUCUUGGAUUUUAAAGGGCAGAAGGAGAGUGUUUUACAGACUGCUCCACCAGCCUAUUUAUUCUACAAGAUUUUUGGAUCAUUUCUAUUUUUGUUGACUUUCUUAAGUCCCUUUGGGCCUUCUCCUACCUUCCCCACCUUUCCCACCUUUCCCUGCUGUCAGUCAGCACCCACUGUUGCAUCUGUUGCCGGGUAUUUGCAUUGGUUUUCCUGGGAAGCUGACUGCAUUGUAGAUAAGUUUCUGUACCCCAAAUUUCCUCCUAAAUUCUUUCUACUUGCUUAUUUUAGCUGAAAGCUGGUCUCUAUCACUGUGAUAAAAUACCAUGAACAAAAGCAACUUGAGUAGGAAAGUGUUUGUUUCAUCUCU